RNAcentral lists this long non-coding RNA (260 nucleotides) under Paramuricea clavata. Lineage: Eukaryota; Metazoa; Cnidaria; Anthozoa; Malacalcyonacea; Plexauridae. The record is from RNAcentral.
CACGUAGGUUCAUCAUCACGAUGAUUCAGCCGUCUCCUCGAUGCUUUGCUCUCCUUUUUCGCUUUAUUUUUGCCCUUUGUAUCCCAGACAAUCCUUUCCUAGUCAUCUUUAUAUAGUGUUUUUUCCUUUCUACCCAACCAUCUUCAACUAAAAUAUGGCUUUUUCCUCAACACAAGCACAGAAUACUACACAAAUUUUCCAAUUUUGUCACGCACAAAACUUUAAAUCAAACCUUUUUGUCAGCGGUUCGAUGCUUUGUG